RNAcentral lists this ribosomal RNA (472 nucleotides) under uncultured bacterium. RNAcentral describes it as "bacterial SSU rRNA". It matches the Rfam family "Bacterial small subunit ribosomal RNA", at positions 36 to 524 of the family's 1533-position model. The record is from RNAcentral.
ACCUGGCGGCCGCUUACAAUGCAAGUCCAACGGAGAAUUUUUGGUUUACUGAGAAUUCUUAGUGGCGGACGGGUGAGUAACACGUGAGCAACCUACCUUGUAGAGAGGGAUAGCUACUGGAAACGGAUGGUAAUACCUCAUAACAUAGCUAAAAGGCAUCUUUUGGCUAUCAAAGAUUUAUCACUAUGAGAUGGGCUCGCGUCUGAUUAGAUAGUUGGUGAGGUAACGGCUCACCAAGUCGACGAUCAGUAGCCGGACUGAGAGGUUGAACGGCCACAUUGGGACUGAGACACGGCCCAGACUCCUACGGGAGGCAGCAGUGGGGAAUAUUGCACAAUGGGGGAAACCCUGAUGCAGCGAUGCCGCGUGGAGGAAGAAGGUUUUCGGAUUGUAAACUCCUGUCUUAAAGGACGAUAAUGACGGUACUUUAGGAGGAAGCUCCGGCUAACUACGUGCCAGCAGCCGCGGUAAU